AUCGCUUCUCAACCUUUUGGCUAAGAUCAAAGUGUAGCGUCUGUUCUGUUUAGCUUAAUUCAUAAAUAAUUAAUCAAGAUGGUUUUCAGAAGGAACCGCAUGGGGGCCGACCUGACAGGGCAUAUUGCUAGCAAUGGGGCUAGUGGAACCCCAUUACUAACAAUCCCUU
This 169-nucleotide small nuclear RNA is filed under the name Galleria mellonella (greater wax moth). Its description in RNAcentral is "U2 spliceosomal RNA". It matches the Rfam family "U2 spliceosomal RNA". Rfam says of the family: U2 is a small nuclear RNA (snRNA) component of the spliceosome (involved in pre-mRNA splicing). Complementary binding between U2 snRNA (in an area lying towards the 5' end but 3' to hairpin I) and the branchpoint sequence (BPS) of the intron results the bulging out of an unpaired adenosine, on the BPS, which initiates a nucleophilic attack at the intronic 5' splice site, thus starting the first of two transesterification reactions that mediate splicing. Lineage: Eukaryota; Metazoa; Arthropoda; Insecta; Lepidoptera; Pyralidae. The record is from Rfam by way of RNAcentral.